UUGAACGCUGGCGGCAUGCUUUACACAUGCAAGUCGAACGGCAGCGGGGGCUUCGGCCUGCCGGCGAGUGGCGAACGGGUGAGUAAUGCAUCGGAACGUACCCAGUCGUGGGGGAUAACUACGCGAAAGCGUAGCUAAUACCGCAUACGCCCUGAGGGGGAAAGCAGGGGACCCUCGGGCCUUGCGCGAACGGAGCGGCCGAUGGCAGAUUAGGUAGUUGGUGGGAUAAAAGCUUACCAAGCCGACGAUCUGUAGCUGGUCUGAGAGGACGACCAGCCACACUGGGACUGAGACACGGCCCAGACUCCUACGGGAGGCAGCAGUGGGGAAUUUUGGACAAUGGGCGAAAGCCUGAUCCAGCAAUGCCGCGUGCAGGAUGAAGGCCUUCGGGUUGUAAACUGCUUUUGUACGGAACGAAAAGUCUCGGGAUAAUACCCUGGGACCAUGACGGUACCGUAAGAAUAAGCACCGGCUAACUACGU
RNAcentral lists this ribosomal RNA (482 nucleotides) under uncultured bacterium. RNAcentral's name for it is "bacterial SSU rRNA". It matches the Rfam family "Bacterial small subunit ribosomal RNA", at positions 29 to 506 of the family's 1533-position model. The record is from RNAcentral.